Molecule: ribosomal RNA, 186 nt
Filed under: Pseudomonas aeruginosa
Lineage: Bacteria; Pseudomonadati; Pseudomonadota; Gammaproteobacteria; Pseudomonadales; Pseudomonadaceae
Description: partial 23S ribosomal RNA
Rfam family: Bacterial large subunit ribosomal RNA
Source: RNAcentral
AAAAGAUAACCGCUGAAAGCAUCUAAGCGGGAAACUUGCCUCAAGAUGAGAUCUCACUGGGAACUUGAUUCCCCUGAAGGGCCGUCGAAGACUACGACGUUGAUAGGCUGGGUGUGUAAGCGUUGUGAGGCGUUGAGCUAACCAGUACUAAUUGCCCGUGAGGCUUGACCAUAUAACACCCAAACA